This is a non-coding RNA of Populus trichocarpa (black cottonwood), 156 nucleotides long. NCBI's taxonomy places the organism in Eukaryota, Viridiplantae, Streptophyta, Magnoliopsida, Malpighiales, Salicaceae. The record is from Rfam.
UCUAGAACUCGUGAUAUGGGCUGAACACUGAAUAGUGUCAAGGCUAUAGGACAGAUUCUAACUUCUCUUUUGUUGCUACAAUUUGAACUUGCAAACAACCGUUUUGAAUCUUGGACUCCUCAUAAAAGUUUUAGGCCUAUAUCUUAGCUUUCCAUC